AGAAGUUCCUGCAACCCCAAGUUAGUAUUGCACCAGCCAGUAGCCACGCGGACGAGCGAGAUAGAGAAACAAAGUGUCAGGGUUGCGUGAUGCUUUUGCAUAGUCAGGUAUGCUAUGCUUUUCACUGUCAGCAGAGCGUCUUGGUUUAAGGUUAUGACAGUCCGAGUUGGCUCCUUGGUCUUUGGCAGCUUGAACCUGGAACCAUCAACAGUCAUAGACUAAGGAUGAGCAGUGCAAAUGAAGACACACACAGCUGGCAAAGGCCAUCAUGCUUUUGGUUGUAGUACCUGUAAUCGUCUGAACUGCUUCACUGAAAUCUUAUCAGGAGUUACACAGGGGACUGG
This is a long non-coding RNA of Polypterus senegalus (gray bichir), 344 nucleotides long. RefSeq lists it as uncharacterized. The record is from RefSeq and is a predicted model, not a curated record. Lineage: Eukaryota; Metazoa; Chordata; Cladistia; Polypteriformes; Polypteridae. The transcript is spliced from 3 exons.